GCCCCCGUAGUUCAAUAGAUAGAACGGAUCCGUCCUAAGGAUUUGAUGUCAGUGCAAUUCUGGCCGGGGGCACCA
Molecule: transfer RNA, 75 nt
Filed under: Candidatus Taylorbacteria bacterium RIFCSPHIGHO2_01_FULL_45_63
Lineage: Bacteria; Candidatus Tayloriibacteriota
Also listed under: 2 other names
Description: tRNA-Arg
Rfam family: tRNA
About the family: Transfer RNA (tRNA) molecules are approximately 80 nucleotides in length. Their secondary structure includes four short double-helical elements and three loops (D, anti-codon, and T loops). Further hydrogen bonds mediate the characteristic L-shaped molecular structure. tRNAs have two regions of fundamental functional importance: the anti-codon, which is responsible for specific mRNA codon recognition, and the 3' end, to which the tRNAs corresponding amino acid is attached (by aminoacyl-tRNA synthetases). tRNAs cope with the degeneracy of the genetic code in two manners: having more than one tRNA (with a specific anti-codon) for a particular amino acid; and 'wobble' base-pairing, i.e. permitting non-standard base-pairing at the 3rd anti-codon position.
Source: RNAcentral